UCCUCUCCCAGUACAUAUACGACACACUGUCAAUGUGUUCAACAUUACGCGCAUCGACUUCGAAUAGUCUGAAUCGAAAGUAUUGAUGAAAAUUUCAUCUCUGUCAACGAGCGCUCCAACCAGCCUAGUCCACUUUGCGAUAAUAUUAUUUCUCCUGUGUCGUUCCGUAAACGGUGAGUCGCGGCCGAAUGAAACGAAUAAAUUUAACGAGCGAUUCGCAAACAAGCCCUGAAAAAUAUUAGACAGCAGCAGCAACGAGUCUCGGUUGGUUAAUCUCCUCUCGUCGUUCUCCUGGUAAAUCCGCCACUUCGAAAGGUUUCCCAGCUUUCGCGAGCCUCUCGGUAAUUCCUCGCAGUCGUCCGUCGCUCCAUACUCGUAGUCAGCCAGACAGCGUGAACCUUUAUUAACCUCUAAAUAACACAUGUGGAUUUCCCUUCGCUUCGUGAAAGUGUAACGCGCAAAGUUUAAGUAAUUUUACGUCGUUCAAAUUUACAACAGCCAAGAGAUCCCGUAUCGAGUCGUUUCUAUUAAUAUCCGAAUUCCCUUCAGGAUUCGACACACGUAUCUUUUCAGGACGACGUAGGAAAUAUUGCCAUACCCGACCGUCCUGUGGAUUAAGGGCUGCGUCUGGUGAGACCUCGUCGGAUUUCAUGGAUAAGGAUGAAAUAAAUUUAUCAAUGGAAUCUCGAAACGAAGCGUGACAAAUCCAAGUUGCACAGGAAAAAUAGCAUUGGGACGAAAGAAAAUGAAGACAAAUAACUCCUUCGUCGCUUCCUUGAAAAUCCAUCCUUCGCAAACAGCUAAAAGUGGUUAACUAAAAAUCACCACGGUCACAUAUUCUCCCUGUAAACCGAUACAGCCAAGUUAGGUAUAUCUACGAUGUCUUUGUGUGCUGAUAAAAAUAUCCUACGAUAAUAUGCAGUACAGAAAUGUCUAUAUUCACGCCGUGAGAGAACUCGAGAAAUUCUUUCGAGCAUCGGAAGUACCGACGACCCAAGUUUCUUUUCCAAGAGUUCGAUGCAUCCUGUACUAGAAAUUACGUGCUACUACCGCAUCGUAGUAAAGGUGACAUUGCCCUCCUGUUUGUGCAAUACCCCAUAUCUGUUUUUAUUUUUCUCCAAACUCGAGAGCUUACGUAACCUGUCUACCAAUACACAGGCCAUGCAUUAAUAAUGCCGCAUACGACUACCCGUGACGUCGUCUACGGCCACCGGAGGACAGUCGUUGCAUCGUGUCGGAGGCUGCUGUCGAUAUGCAAAUUAUCGUAUCGGCCUAUCGUAACGGUGACAUUUAUCCGCAAGGUGAAAUCUUGCCAGAAGACAUCGAUUCCCUCUCUAUUAUAUUUCUCGACGAUUCUCCGAGGCUUUUUCGCAUCAAAUUAAUUUUUGUUUAUAUUAUAUAAUCUUUUUUACCAAAACAUUUCGUUCGCGCAGCCAAUCGUGAAAAAAAUCAUAUUAGGGAAAAUGGAUUAAAUCGAAUGUUAAAAAUAUCAUUUCAGUAAUGUACAUUCCACGUUCUGAAUAUCGGUAUAACGAUACUCCUUAAAUCAUUAUGGUACAAUAAUUCGAGCAUUGCAACUGUGUCAAGUAACUAUAACGAUGCACAAUCAUCCGGGCAUAACUUGCGUAGCAUUAUGCGCGCAUUGAGGUGCAACUAACGUAUGUACAGUCGCAGAGCCACCUUAACGGUGGAUUACGUAAGCGACACAAUCCUUGCCAAUAUUCGUUGCUCAGGGGAUAAUCAGUAUAAUCAGGUAUGACGAUAGAAUUAAUUAAUUUUUGUCGAUAAACGCAAGAAGCUCAUCGGUGACUACUUAAAGUCAAUCAAAAUGCAAAAUUGAUCGGAGUAACAGCAAGAUUUGGUUCCUCUAAGUAACAAAAGGCGCGAUCGUAAAAUUCGAAGGAUAUCGAGUUUAAUGCUAGAAAGUAAGUGGCGCUGGCGUCGGCAGCGGUAGCGUUCUACGUUUCUCACGACUAUAAUUUAACGAGUCGUUGUGUCUCAAUACGAAACUGGAGUAUCUUUACACGACGCGUUAACAAGGCCGCCGACAAUUCACGCAUUCGCGCACACCGCCACACAAGCAUCGCCUUCGUGUAUUCUCGACGAAUCGUAAAUGACCGCGUGCGAAUUUAUAUUACACGGAGGCUGUGCGACACAGAUCGUAGUCAAGUAAGAUUCGUCUCGAGUCAUUCAUGGAUAUCAGAGGUAUCUCUCUUUCUGUUUGACUGUUUGACACGUGCGAAUAUGGCGUGCUUGAAAUUCAAAAAAAAAAAAAAGGAUUGAAAAAAAUUAUAAUGAGUCUGUAAACUUGUACACAGUUUUUUUUUAAAGCUUUAA
Cephus cinctus (wheat stem sawfly) is the source of this 2337-nucleotide long non-coding RNA. RefSeq lists it as uncharacterized. The transcript is spliced from 2 exons. The record is from RefSeq and is a predicted model, not a curated record. NCBI's taxonomy places the organism in Eukaryota, Metazoa, Arthropoda, Insecta, Hymenoptera, Cephidae.